AAAAAAACAAAUUACUUUCACAUUCAUGAUUAUUUCACAAUUAAUAAAUGAAGGAAUGCUAAUCUAUGUCCAGCCAAAUAAUACAGCUUGCAAAAAAAGAUAAGAUCUUAUCUUACGUUUGAAAUACAGAAGUACAACAAAAAACUAACACAUCCUCAAAUCAAAACAAUAUAACAUUAAUCCAAACAUUUCAUAUAACAGAGAACAACAAAGUUGAUGGAAGUACACUAUUAAGCAAAACAGAGUAUGAAACAUGAGGAACCAAACCUCAAAAUGGAUCAAUACAUUAGUUGUGCGGCAACUUUAAACUCAGACACGACAAACCAUGGACAGAGCUGAAACGGAACCCAUGAACAACGACCACGGACAACCUUGAAGCUCGCCGGAAUUAUCGAACUAGACCAGAAUGACAAAAACUAAACUCCUGGCUAGAUUUUGAGUUUCUUUGGGAUUAAUUUUGGGGUUGUACUGAUCUGGUUUUGAAAGACGCCUGUUGGUGGUGAAAGAACGGCAGAGUUGCUCAUUUUCUGGCGAGCUAGGUUGAAGACGAUGACUGCUGCUAUGGUGCUUUGGAGUCGAGGUCGCUGGUUUUGUUGAGGAAAGAAAACAGAACGGAUCCCAGCUCCUUUAAACUCAGGCGUUUUUCAUCUGCUAGGUUGAAGGAAGGAGAUGAUUUUAGUGGUCGUUUUUGUUGUGUGUGGUCGUUUGGAGGUUAGCAACGACACUAGGUUAUAAUGGUAGUCGUUGUGGGGUGAAGGAGACGGGGGUCUCUUCUCUGAAAACGGCGCAGCCUUUUGUCCCUAGGUCUUUAGGAAUUUCCUUUUCUAUUUUUGUCUCCCCUCCUUCGGUCUAUUUAUUUCUCAUUGCUACUAUGCUUGUGCUUUUAUAUAUUGUUAUAUCUUGGCGAGAAAGCUAGUGUUUGGUCCUCCUUAAAAAGAGAAUGCUAAAAAUUAAAAUUGUGACCAAAAGGAAUCAAUUCUAUUAUGGAUGAAAAGACUACACGUGAUUUUGAGAGGAUAUGGAGGAAAAUCAAUUUAGGAGGUGGAACCAUUAUAGAAUAAGAAAUUAAGAACACAAUAUAUGGGGGCCACGGAAGGGGAUCUAAUUCUCUUUCCACCUUCUUUUCUUUCUUCUUUGAUUUUUUCUUUUGCUUUUUUCACGUUUUUCCCUUUUUUGUGUGUGUUUUUGGUUGAUUUUCUUUUCUUUCUUUAUUUUUAGUUAAUAAAAUAAAAUAUUACUCCUACUUGAUAAAUAUGGAAAGAUAAAAAAUGCUAACUAUCCAAAAUUCAUUUAUUAACAUCCAACUUGAAAUGGAUAGAGUACACCCUUUAAAAAUAUAUUUUUGGAUCUUUUUUUUUCUUUUGAGAAUAAGAACACAAUUAAUAUGUAAAAUUGUGACUAUUUUUUGUUGUUUUCAAUUUAUCUAAAAUAAACCUAUAAAAAUGUGAAAUAAAACUAAAAUAUUAAGAUUAAACUUUAAAAAUAUUUACAUGCUAUAACGUGAUGCAAAUUCAAAUAUAGUCAAAAAUUAGGUGCUCACAGCUGCCGCUCUUUGUUCGGAAACACGAAGAGUUUUCGGACAAAGAUAAAGUGAGCCAUGUGACUAAUUUUUGACAGUAUCGUUAUUCAAAAGAGGAAGAAAAAAGGCGCAACCGAGUCCUGGUUUUGGACAGCCUACAUAUCCUGGGUUAUAAGGGAAUCAGGUCGUGUGUAGUUCAAGAAGAGUGAUGGAAUGCCGAGUUCGAGAGUCGAGUGAGGUUCCGUUGAGGAUCCGAUCUGUGGUCCUACUAUUACAUCUAAAUCAAAAAAUGAAAAAGACUAACUAAGCUUGUCAACUAUGAGUUACAAGAUUUCUAUCUAUAAGUUUUUCGAAGCUUGAUCUUGAGUCUUGAAUGGUUUUUCAUGCAGACUUAAAAUUUGAACCUUGACGCUUGCUAGUUGCAGGUGCUAGUUCAUUCUUCUUCAUCUUUUCGGAUCAAGACUGGACAUACCAUGAUUGUGACUUCAGUCAUGUCUUGAGCAGCUCACAUCUUUCAUUAACUUCUGCAUUUGGAUUCACUUCUUGCCUUUCUUUUUUUUAUUCUGGAUUGUGACUAACUUCCAUUGAUCAUCACGGACUGUUGACUCGCAUUCUUGCCACGAGCUUCUUUUAUUGCUGACUUGAAUUGCAUUCCCUUGUUUUCCAGGUAGGUGCCUGAUUGCCAAAACUUGAACUGUUUUCCUUCAAAACUUGAAUCGUUUUCUCUUGUUCUCUAGGUGGGCGCCUGAUUGCUGAAACUUUCUGUGUUCCCCCGGAACUGCUUCCCCUUGAAACUUGCAAUAUCUUCCCUUGAAACUUGAACUGUCUUCCCUUGUUCUCCAGGUGGGUGCCUGAUACUACAACAAAACAGACAAAACAAAAGAAUUUUUUCUGCCCCAGUUUGCACUAGGAAGAUUUGUGAGUUGUUAGCGAAACUAUAAAUCACCUACGCUGCUGAUGGAGGAUGCAAUGAUGAGAGUAAAAUUAAUGACUCGACUAGGAUGUGCGUCUCCUAAAAGUGAUUGAGCUUGCGGAACACUAUAAACUAAGCUUGACUAAAGUAAAGACUGUCCCUAUUCUCCAGGCGGGGCCCCUGAUUUCAAGAAAACCAAACAUUGAUAACUUAAGAAAACUAAAAAUUGACCUUUUUUUCAAAUUCAAACUUCCCUUUUUAAUUUGUUUUUUUAUUAUCCUAGGAGAAAAUUCAUCGGACUAGGUUUUCUAUCUUAGGAGAAAGAUUCAUCAGACUAAGAUUUCUAUCCUAGGAGAAAAUUCAUCAGACUAGGUUCUCUAUCUUAGGAGAAAAAUUCAUCAGACUAAGAUUUCGAUCCUAGGAGAAAAUUCAUCAGACUAUGACUUUUUAUCCUAGGAGGAAAAUAUGUGAAGAUCAAUGGCAAGAUUUUAUGCACAAUAACAAAAAGUUGAGAAACUUUCCUUUGUCGGCUCUUCUCUUCUUUUCUUUUCCUUCUCUUUUUUGUUUUUUUUGAACCACUUUCCUUGCACUGCUUUGUUCCUGUUUCACACAAAGAAAAAUUUGUCAGUUUUGAAAAUGGUGGUCGGUUUGUGGCCUUGAGUCUUGCGCAUCUUGGCUUCUACUCAAUCAGCUUGAGUCGGUCUCAAAAGACUUUUGUUCUGCAACAACUCUGAUUGUUUCACACCCAGUACCAUUUGUAUUUGCNNNNNNNNNNNNNNNNNNNNNNNNNNNNNNNNNNNNNNNNNNNNNNNNNNNNNNNNNNNNNNNNNNNNNNNNNNNNNNNNNNNNNNNNNNNNNNNNNNNNNNNNNNNNNNNNNNNNNNNNNNNNNNNNNNNNNNNNNNNNNNNNNNNNNNNNNNNNNNNNNNNNNNNNNNNNNNNNNNNNNNNNNNNNNNNNNNNNNNNNNNNNNNNNNNNNNNNNNNNNNNNNNNNNNNNNNNNNNNNNNNNNNNNNNNNNNNNNNNNNNNNNNNNNNNNNNNNNNNNNNNNNNNNNNNNNNNNNNNNNNNNNNNNNNNNNNNNNNNNNNNNNNNNNNNNNNNNNNNNNNNNNNNNNNNNNNNNNNNNNNNNNNNNNNNNNNNNNNNNNNNNNNNNNNNNNNNNNNNNNNNNNNNNNNNNNNNNNNNNNNNNNNNNNNNNNNNNNNNNNNNNNNNNUUGUUUGUCAGAGAGAAUCACCAGUUAUCUUUGCUUGCGCCAAGUAGGUUGACAAGAGUCUUUUGGGGGGAGCCUUUGCAUGAAUCCUCAAGGUAUAUUGAUUGUAACAACUGAGUGUGCUGGCCAAAUUUACUUUGUGCAACUGAAAAACUGGUAGCAGAUUUUGAAAUCUUUUCUUGCUUGUUUUUACAAGGACUGACUCGGAGUUAAAACCACAAUGAUGCAAAGAAACAAGUAUUAACAAGAAAUGCCCCUGUCGGAAGGACAGAAGGAAGAGUUUUUUUUUCCUUUCUUCUUUGUUUCUUCUUUUUUUUCUUUUUUUUUCAAUACCUAGCCUUAGUGGUCAUGACAUGCAUUUUUGGACUCAACAGCCUGAUCCAUCAAACUAAUCCAAUCUUCCCUUUUGCCAUUCUUAUGACCUUUGAAGUCGGGCUUGUUCGUGCCAAUCCUUUGCAUCAGCUUCAACUCACUUUUGACUAGUGGUGCCCCGAGAGAUUUUUACCUAUAAGUCUCUCUCAUUUAUUUUCUCAGCUUACUGUCGCCUUACAGUGCCCGUGAAGGUUUUCACUAGUAAGACUCUCUCAUUUUUCUUUUUUCUUUCCUCUUUUUUUUUGGAUUUUCUUUUGUGAGCAACUUGACAGUGUUCUAUAUCGUGUGACAACCGUUUCUCAUUGCAUGCUUCUCUUGGCAUUCUUGAAGGCAUAUCAGGAGGUCUUUAUUUGGAAGGAUUUUGGAUAGGGUUGGAAAGAAAGGACAUCAUGAAGGCUCAAAUAGACUCAAAGUUAAGGGGGUUGUAGACUUACAAUUCUUGGAAUCGACUCUUUCAGAAAUGAAAUAAAAUCUUUGCCUCAGUUUCAACUAUUAGGGAUUUUUUGGAUUUUUUUUAAUUCUUAUUUGGUUGGACCGAACCGUGAGGCUGCCUACGUAUCCUUUUUUAAGAAACUAGGUCAAACGUAGUUCAAAACAUCUGACCUAACUAUUUUUCUUUCUGUUCCUCUGUCUUUUUCCUUUCUUUUCUUUUUUUAUUUUUCCUUUCUUUUUCCUUCUUUUUUUCUUUUUUUUUCUUUUUGUUUGCCCCAGUUUCUAUCUUCUGAGGGCAUGGACCUUCGACAGUUCUUUUCUUCCUGUUUUUUCACUUGAACUUUCCAAGAGCUGUCCCAGUUUGUACUCUUAGGACAUGGACUUUUUUUUUCUUUUUUUUUUAUUUUUGACUCUUGACUCUAAACUUGAUUUCAAAAGAGGGCAGUCAAUGAAAAUAACACAGGCUCAAAAAGGGGUAGCGAAGGAUAUAAAGUGUUUGGAUAGCAGAAAAAGGGCCUCCCAGAUUCGAGAACGCCAAACAUAGUAUCCUUUCACAAUCACGACAAUGAUGAACAUGUCUGUCUUCUUGGUGUGUCGUGGUCACAAGACACUUUCCAUCCCUUAGUGUCAAACUUUUCAAUAAACUUCAAUUGAUUAAACAUCCUCAAGCCCGAUCUUCACAAUGAUUUGAAGGUGAAUUUUACUCAACCUUAAUUCCAAAGUAUUUCAACUCUUUAUUCAUCCCCAAAAUUGUUUUUUUUCUCAGUUUUCCAAUUCCAGAUUAAAUCUUUUUCUAAGAUCUGUCCAAAAUUUCCCUAUGCAUGUCACGUCAUUAGAACUAGCGAGAAAAGAACUAAGAAUAGAAUGCACAAAAGGACAAAUUGUAUUUCACUGAGUAAAGGAUGAAAGAGUUUGACAACAAGACAAACAACCUAAAAUCCGAGUUACAAACCUAAAAUAACCCGAAUAAUGAAAAUAGCAACAAAACAGACAGACAUGACUCAAACAAACAGAAUAAAAGGAUAGAAAGGUUUGACUCAAUAAAACAAAUAAAAUCUGGAUCACAACCCUUGAAUAACCCAGAUAAUAGAAAAAACAUCAAAACAAGCUACCAAGAUUCCUUCCUAGUAAGGAGAGAAUGACUUUUCAAUUGUUAAGCUUGACAUUUAGCCACAAAUUUACUCAUCAGAAUCACCAUGGCCUUCUCCAAUUUUAGUCGACAAAUUCCCGAGAGGAUUCUCAUAUUCCAUGUCACCACGUAUCACCCCUACAAAGUGUGCAUCAUCAUGUGCAGGUUAAGUACUCUGCGCGAUACUCUGGGUGUCACUGUCUUGGAUCACAAUCCGGUUUUCCUGGAUCAUCCUUUCUAUUUCCCUUUUCAAAUCCCAACAACUUUCAACAUUGUGCCCCUGAGCAUUGGAAUGGUAUUCACACCUUUUAGAAGGGUCAAAGCCUCUUGCACGGGGGUCCACAUGAUUUGGAGGAAUAAGUGCAAUUAUGUCAUACUACUUUAAUUUCUCAAACAAGCUUGCAUAGGACUCUCCUAUUGGUGUAAAAUUAUCUUACAACCUUUGUUCCCUUCUAUACCCUUGGCUUGGAUGUGGGUUAUAGAGCAUUUGAAAAUUUUGUGGAGGCUGGUGGAGAUUUUGCGGUGCUGGUGUUCGCCUUCUGGGGUGUCUUGGUGGUCGGGCAACAUACUGAGGUGCAGCAACAGAGUAUUGAGGGUUCUGAGGUGGAUAAUACUGCUUAGGGGAGUCAUGGAAAACCUGAGGAGGCUGCUCAUACCUUCGAGACGUUCUCAUGGGACCUUUUCUCGAUCCUGAUGUCAUCAUGAUUUCUUUAACCUUCUCAUUCGUGUGACCAAAAUUAUUGGAUUCAAUCUGGACAACGUGAGUUACGGCUUUGAGAACUGCUUGACUUAUAAUUCUACCUGUCUUAUGACCGUUCUCAACCAUUUCCCCCAUUUUGAUUGCUUCCGAGAAAGAUUUAUCCACAACAAAUAUUAUGUUUUGAAAAUAAUCUGGCUCUUGAGCCUGAAGAAAGACAGUGAUUAGCUUGUGGUCAUCUAUGAGUGGCUUAAUUCUAGCUGCUUGUUCUCUCCAUUUAAUGGCAUAUUUCCUGAAACUUUCAGUUGGUUUCUUCUUCAGGUUUGAAAAGGAAUUGCGGUCUGGGGUGAUGUUGAUGUUAUAUUGGAACUAUUUGACAAAGGCAUGUUCCAUGUCAUUCCAGACGUACCAGCGAGAUGUGUCUUGAUCCAUAAACCAUUCGGAUGGUACUCCCGUAAGGCUUUCCCCAAUAUAAACUAUUAGCAAUUCUUCAUUUCUUCCUGUACCUCUUAGCUGAUUGCAAUACCUUUUCAGGUGGGCUAUGGGGUCUCCAUGUCCAUCAUACUUUUCAAAUUUGGGAGUCUUGAAACCAGGCGGCAAGUGGACAUCGGAGAACAUACAUAGAUCCUUGAAGGCAAUACUCUUCUGACUUGCCAAACCUUGCAUAUUUUUCAACUGUUGUUCUAAGCUUUUCACUCUAUGAGUCAUUUCUUCAUGUGCCAUCUUUCGGGCAGGCUUCUCAAUGUUUGCAAGAAGAUCAAACAAGUACGAGUGCUACUCAGGAGAGUGGUACUGCUCUUGCUGGGUAGUAAAUUGUGACUCAUGACAAGGCUGUCCUUGGCCAUUGGCCCAUGCUUGACACAUUUUGGUCAUUUGCUGUUUCAGUAUUCUAUUUUCCUCAACCACAGUAGACUCUUGUUGAACCCUCUAACCCUGAGUCUUUUGAGCACUUGUAAUAGCUUCGAUGUCAGNNNNNNNNNNNNNNNNNNNNNNNNNNNNNNNNNNNNNNNNNNNNNNNNNNNNNNNNNNNNNNNNNNNNNNNNNNNNNNNNNNNNNNNNNNNNNNNNNNNNNNNNNNNNNNNNNNNNNNNNNNNNNNNNNNNNNNNNNNNNNNNNNNNNNNNNNNNNNNNNNNNNNNNNNNNNNNNNNNNNNNNNNNNNNNNNNNNNNNNNNNNNNNNNNNNNNNNNNNNNNNNNNNNNNNNNNNNNNNNNNAAUUUUCGAAGAAAGACUUAUAAAGAACAAAGAAAAUAUUUUUGGAUUUCGAUUCGUUUGUUGUCUUUUUUUAAAAGAAUUUUUGAAAAAAAGACUUCUAAAGAAGAAAGAUUUUUUUUGAAUUUUUGUACUUUUAUUUGAAUUUAUGAAAGAAAUACUUCUAAAGAAAGAAAAUAUUUUUUAAUCUUGAAUUUUCUUUUCAAUUUUCUAAAGAAGAAUAAAAAUAUUUUUUAAUUUUGAGAAGAAAUUAAAAGAACACAUUUUUUGUAUUUUUUAGAAAUUUGGGUCUAAAAGAAGACUUUCUAAAGAAAGAAGUAAAGGAAAAUAUUUUUGAAUUUUUUCUUGAAAAUUAUGGUCUCAAAGAAAGAUUUUUCUAAAGGAGGAAGCAAAGGAAAAUAUUUUUGGAUUUUUAAAAAUUGUGGUCUCAAAGAAAGACUUUUCUAAAGGAGGAAGCAAAGGAAAAUAUUUUUGGAUUUUUUUAAAAGUUGGGGUCUCAAAGAAAGUCAAACUAAAGAAGUAAAGGAAAAUAUUUUUAGAUUUUUUAAAAAUUGGGGCUCGGAACCGAUGAGGUUUGCCUACGUAUCUCACAUCCGGUGAGAAUCAGACCCGCGUAGUUCGAUUAGUUUUGACGUAAUUGAAAAAAUAUGAUAUCGACUCACUUUCAUUUUUUUUGAAAUACAUGUUUUUUUCCUCUUUUUUUUCAAAAUUUUGGUAGAGUUUCAAGGCAUUUUCAAAUUCUGGGGUUUUCAGAAACGGGCUUUUCUACAUCACUCUAGGUUUUCUCUUGAUUUAUUUUUCCUAGCCAGUCAGCAUGCAUGCCGAAACAAGUAAAUGUUCACAUAGCACAUAGGAUGCAUCAGGAUGGUCUGUUAUUUUGGGUACACUUGUCCUAGACGGACCCAACCCCUGUGUUGAGUCCCCUUAAUCAAAUGCACAUGAUGCAAACAAACGUUCCUACUAGGGAUUCGGCAUGAGGCUGUAUUUUUCUAGGUUUAAAACUUGGGGUUGUGUUCUAGACCUGGCUUACCCGAGCGGACAGCUCAAGCGGAAGAUGGGGCAACGUACCAGGAGCACUAAAGUCUACCCGACCUUGUUGCUGGCCCAGCCUCAUUCUAUUUGGUAUAACUUCUACAGAAAAAGCGGGCCACGCGAACGUGUGCACCAUUUUUUAGAAAACUCAGAUGGGAGGCGUAAGAAGACAAUUUAAUUCAAUUCAAAUAAUAUCAAAGCGGUAAAUAAGUAGCAGUUAGCAUAUUAGGUCCACAAAGACAGUAAUAUAAACAAUAAAUAAAGCCAAGUAAAAAUCACAAAACAAGCUCGAAUUCUUGAACCCUGAACCAGAGAUUCUGGGUCCUUAUCCCCAAUAGAGUCGCCAGAGCUGACACACCUCCUUUUUCCUACCCCCCCCCCGGAGUAUAAGGGAGUUUUUCCAAUUUAAGUGACAAUCAAAACAUGAUUAUUUUAUUUAAAAUCAGAGUCGCAACUUGGAAUAAUUUAUGGUGUCCAAAGUCACCAGUUUAAAAUUCCGAAUCGAGGAAGUUUGACUCUAUUUACGGUCUGCGAACACAAAAAUCCGGGUAAGAAAUUUUGUUAACCAGGGAGAAGGUGUUAGGCAUUCCCGAGUUCCGUAGUUCUAGCACGGUUGCUUUGAUCAUACUUGGCUUAAUCAAAUUGUUUAAUUACUGAUUUUAGAACCUAUGUGCAUUUGCCUCUUUUAAUUAAGAAAUUAUCUUGAAAAGGGUCACGCGUAUGUGUACCCAUUUGUUUGGUGCGCCAAAAAUCAUGUUACGCGAACGUGUCCACAAUUAAUAACGCUUUAUUAUUAUUAAGAAAGGUUUGGCCGAAGUUGCGCGAACGCAUACUCCGGUUUUAUUUUAAGAAUCAAAAUUAUGUCACGCGAACGUGUACGCAAUCACGAUGGUAUAUUAAAUGGGCCUAAAGCAACAACGAGCAUCCAAAAAGGUUAAUUAAUUUCCUAAGAAACAAUAUGACUUGCGAGGUUCUAAUUAAGGAAAUCCACUAAUAAUCUUAGGCAUGAUUCCAAUUGGAUCAAGGAAAUAUUUUUUCUCGUUCACAUUUGAAGACAAAUAUUAUCAGAUGUAUUGCUAUUGACAUUUCUAAACUUAACGUAAUCUUGAAGUAACAAGGAUUCGAAAAAAACAAAUUACUUUCACACUCAUGGUUAUUUCACAAUUAAUAAAUGAUGGAAUGCUAAUCGAUGUCCAGCCAAAUAACACAGCUUGCAAAAAAAGAUAAGAGCUUAUCUUACAUUUGCAAUACAGAAGUACAGCAAAAUACUAACACAUCCUCAAAUCAAAACAAUAUAACAUUAAUCCAAACAUUUCAUAUAACAGAGAACAACAAAGUUGACGGAAGUACACUAUUAAGCAAAACAGAGUAUGAAAAAUAAGGAACCAAACCUCAAAAUGGAUCAAUACAUUAGUUGUGAGGCAACGUUAAACUCAGACACGACAAACCAUGGACGGAGCUGAAACGGAACCCAUGAACAACGACCACGGACAACCUUGAAGCUCGCCGGAAUUAUCAAACUAGACCAGAAUGACAAAAACUAAGCUCCUGGCUAGAUUUUGAGUUUCUUUGGGACUGAUUUGGGGUUGUACUGAUCUGGUUUUGAAAGACGCCUGUUGAUGGUGAAAGAACGACAAAGUUGCUCGUUUUCCGGCGAGCUAGGUUGAAGACGACGACUGCUGCUAUGGUGCUUUGGAGCAGAGGCGGAUUUGUAGGCAUUUACACGGGGCACGUGAACCCAUGGUAUUUCCGUCAAACUAGAUAUUUUAUAUACAUAUUUUUAGAAUUUGUCUAGUAUUAUCGGCUGACACCCAUGCUCCAAAAAGGCUAAAUGGUGCACUUGGUUAAAUGUUGAGUUAUUUACCUAGAGGAUUAGGGAUCAAAUCCCACUUAAUACUUCUUUUUUUCUCACCCAUAUUAUUAAAAUUCUAGAUCAGCCACUGCUUUGGAGUCGAGGUCGCUGGUUUUGUUGAGGAAAGAAAACAGAACGGUUCCCAGCUCCUUUAAACUCAGGUGUUUUUCAUCUACUAGGUUAAAGGAAGGAGAUGAUUUCAGGGGUCGUUGUGUUGUGUGUGGUCGUUUGGAGGUCAGCAACGACACUAGGUUACAGGGGUAGUCGUUUGGUUGAAGAAGAAGCAGAAGGGUGGGGUGGAGACGAGGGUCUCUUCUCUAAAAACGGCGCAGCCUUUUGUCCCCUAGGUCUUUAGGAAUUUCCUUUUUUGUUUUUGUCUCCCCUCCUUCUGUCCGUUUUUUUCUCAUGCUUUUAUAUAUUGUUAUAAGUUGGUGAGAAAGUUAGUGUGUGGUCCCUCCUUAAAAAGAAAAUGCCAAAAAUUAAAAUUGUGACCAAAAUGAAUCAUUUCUGUUAUGGAUGAAAGGAGUACACUUAAUUUUGAGAGGAUAAGGAGGAAAAUCAAUUUAGGAGGUGGGACCCAUUGUAUAAUAAGAAAUUAAGGACAAAAUAUACGGGGGCCACAUAAGGGAUCUAAUUCUCUUUCCACCUUCUUUUCUUUCUUCUUUGAUUUUUCUUUUGCUUUUUUCACGUUUUUCCCUUUUAUUGUGUUUUUGGUUGCUUUUCUUUUCUUUCUUUAUUUUUAGUUAAUAAAAUAAAAUACUACUCCUACUUGAUAAAUAUAGAAAGAUAAAAAAUGCUAACUAUCCAAAAUUUAUUUAUUAAAAUCUAACUUGAAAUGGAUAGAGUAGACCUUUUAAAAAAAUAUUUUUGGAAGCUUUUUCUUUCUUUUGAGAAUAAGAAAACAAUUAAUAUGUAAAAUUGUGACUAUUUUUUGUUGUUUUCAAUUUAUCUAAAAUAAACCUAUAAAAAGGUAAAAUAAAAUUAAAAUAUUAAGAUUAAACUUUAAAAAUAUUUACAUACUAUAAUGUGAUAAAAAAUUCAAAUAUAGUCAAAAAUUAGUUGCUCACAACUAUAACAUUCCUAACUUAUCGACUUUUGACGAAACUUAUUUUUUUCAAUUGGUUUAGCUUCUAAGCCUUCUAACCCUCUUGGUUCUUGAAUUCCAUUAUCUUAAAUAUUUGUAACCUUCAAGUUAACAUGAUUAACUUACUUUAUGUACUUUCAAAGAUGAUCUCAUUUCAUAGCUUACGUCAAUUGACUUACGACUUACUCUCACGUACGAAACUAUAGGGUUUAACAUAAUUCCCCCUUUGGAACAUUCAUCCUUGAAUGUUGACUGACGCGCUUAUCAAUCUCAUAACCUAUAGCUCUUACGAAUAAUUUAGUAAUGUCUUUGACGUCUAGGCAACCAUUCUGUGAACAAAUCCAAAGUCCAGGGCAUUCCCCCCUUAGGCCUCUUUCUUGUACUACGACCUGUAGUCGAAAUUCUUCCAAUCUCGUUACUGUUUCUACCUCUGUCAUGCAGCUUGUACGACUCUAUCCCUGUAUGUGCGCCUAUGCGAGUCUUCUCUCCUUUUUUCUCCAGCUAUUAUCCAAUCUCUAAGCCUUACUUUGUCAACAUAUACAGAACUAUGAUAAGUUGUCCCUCUAGGCAGCUAUGUGUACUGAAGUCCUUCACUUGGUACUUUAUCAAACUUACGACUAUUUCUAUAUCUUGUUUCAUAGCCUUGGUUAUCUAUCCUUAUGAAUUUACUACAUCUAGGUAGGGCAUACUAGACCAUAACACCUACCUCAAUUUAUUAUUACCGAGGUUUGCUACCCAACUCCAGGUUACUGUCUCGCUGCUUUUCUUAUAUGUAUAAAUCUAAGUUCUUUAGUUCUUCCUCAUUAUUGUUCGUCUUAAGAAUGACAACCUAAUCUUAUCUCAUACAUUGGAACGUUUAUCUGGCUAUUGUUGAUUCACCUUAUGAUGAUCUAUAAUCUACCACUGAUAACUUGAAACCUCUUACGUAAUACAUUAUCUUAGGGCUCACGUCUCAUUGGGGAACAUAUGAAGUUAUUUGCCUGAUCCACCUAAGGACAAAUACAAUACUUCAUUAACCGUAUUUCAUAGUAUCCCAAUAUAGUUCAUCUUAUGGAGGUAUUCUAAUCUUAUGCAAUUUAUGAAAUCCAUUUUUCUCUAAAUCAUUUCUCACCCGAAGGCCUAAAUGUCAUUCACUUAUCAUUUAUCACAAUUACACCCUUAUUCCACUACCAGUAUAACAUUCCCUCUUUUCCAAAUGCUCAUAGUCUUAAACUCCUCUAAGUUUAUUCAGGUUAUACAUGGCCUUCUAUAACUUACGGGAACCAUUAGCUCUCUUGUUUUGAUGGGCUUAAUUCUAAGGCCUUACCUAUUCUCGUCACCUUCUAAUUCAUAUUUUCUUAUCUAAAUAUUUUUGUUCUACCAUACUUUAGCUUAUGACCUACACAUAUCUAUUUAUACUACUCAAAACUUUCCUUUAACUUGCUAUCACCAUAGAUUUCCUUAUAUUACUCUGGAAGCUUAAGCGAGACAUCACGCUGUCUCUAACUCUUCUUUACUCUCUUAACUAGACCUCUCGAUACCUGGAAACAAUAGGGUAGAAGAUAUGCUACUGACGAAACAAGUAUCAUUUUUGGAUACUGAAUCACAAUGCUUCUAGCACUCUAUGUGAAGUAUGGACUAUACACAACCUUCUGCACUUGAGUAUCUCCGACAUUCUUCACUUUUACCUUACUUACCAUUAAAUCUCAUAACAUAUCUCUGUCUAUUUCAUAACCUCGCUUCCACAUAGGUAGAAUUCACAUCCACAAAUUGAAGCUCUACUAUAAACUUGCACUUCUAGUGCAUACAAAAUCCGGCAAGAGGUUCAUACUAAUUUCGUAUGAGGUUGGUACUCUUCUAACUAGAUUUAUCGUAGAGCCAUUAUAGGAUAUGUCUAUUGUACUAUCUCUUUUGCACCUUUGAUAUUUAGAGUGAUUCUACAAUAUUCUGAAUCACGAUUUCUAUACUCAUCGGGAUCUAAUAAUCAGACUCCUAAUUCACUUAGCUGAUAUAUUUUAAGCAAUCCACUAGGCGAUAUGUCUAGGGCUAGUUUUAUUUAUAUAUGAAAAAAUAAAAAACCGAAUACAUUGUCAGGAGGUCUUACGAUAUGAAAGUAAUAAAAUUUACUAAUUACAUUCCUUCUAUUACCAAUGUUAAGCAAUGAACUUAACUUUGGUAUCACAAAGUGUGUGCUAGAAAAUUUAAACCAAUGCUGCAUCACAACUAGCCAUUGAUUGCCAAGAUAAACCUUGUGAAUAUGCACAUGUGUUUCUGAUAGUGUGCUGAAGAUGAUAACCUCUUUUCCUUGGUGUUGUAUUGUCCUUGUUUGUGUCCAAGUAUCUAGAAGUUCCCUAAUGACUGCUACAUACCAUCUGCAACUGAACCUGUGAUCCAUCUGCUACAUUGUUGUUGUCCACAUCUGUUUUCUCCUCUCUAUUAUGCCCUCAUUGUUGAUCAAUCUACUGGUGAUUCUUGAUAUGUUCCUUGCAUGAUUUCCUCCAUACUGUGUCCAUCUCCAAUUUUGUAUUGAUAUUUAUGUCCAAAUUAAACCAUUAUUGCCCGCUAAGUGCAGUCCAAAGUGCCAAGUUACAAGUCUUCUCCAUAUCUGCUCCAUUGUGGUGUUUAGGAAACCACUUUCUUGACUGGUUCUUGUGUUUCCAGCGGAAGCUUUUGCCUUACAUAAUUCCUGUGUUAUUGUAAACCUGUACUGCAUUUGGAAGACGUUCCAUAACAUAGCCCUGUUACCCAGAAAUCUUUGCCAAAACCUGCAACUAAUAUCCUGAAAACCAGCUUCUUUUACUAUGCUGCUUUUGCCUUCUAAAUCGUGUAUUGCCAUCAAGUGUCUUUUUGAUGCCCUUGUAUGAAGACAAAGCUGAUAUCUGGUAUAGACCUGCCGCAUUGAGAUUUCAAGCCAACAAACCCUAUUGCUGCCCUUACACAUGCUGAACACCCAAUGAUGUAUUAAGAUCCUACUCAUAGAUCUCAUGCUUGUGCAUGCCCCUUUUCCUUCUUCAAGGGAAUGAGCACAUAGUGCUAAUACCACCCAUUGAAGUCGUAAUAGGGGGCAAGGCAUGAGUACACUAACAUUUCCUGUAAAAAAGAAAACAAGGUUAGUGAAAAUAUUUGUCACUGUCAUCUCCUCCUGACUAUAGCAAUUGUCCAGUUCCCUCACUAAAACCCCUGCCUUAUUUAUUUUUUUUCACAACUCCCCUCCUUGUUUUGUCUAUCCUACUACCCUUAUAUUUGCCCAUGAAUCCCCCUUCAGCUUUCCUUUUCCAAAUUUCCUCCAUGUUACCAUAUAGCAUGCAGCCAACUUCCUCCCAAUACUCUUAUUGCUGCAUAUUUCUGCAUUUUUCUUCCUGUUCCUCCUUCUGCUCAUGACUUCUUGUUUCUGCCUCUUGUAAACUCUGAACAUCAAGAACUGCCUGACUCCCUGUAUCCUUAUACCACUCCCUCCAUUCUCUUACUCCCCAGACUCUUUUUUGUUGCUGCUAUACUUUGCCUGCAAUUCCUGCUGCUGCUAUAUCAGCAGCCGUAUUUCCUACCUGUGUUGAACAAUGAUAUUGGCUCCUAAAUUUUACCUCUUCUAUGUUCCUACCAAAUAGAAUUACACCCAGCAUUGCCUGACUCCUUAUAUCCAUUGAGGCUACCUUACCAUCCCCUAUAUACUUUACUCCAGAUUGCCCAUUUCGCUUAAACAUUUUGGGACCAAUAUCUCCUAUUGUUAUUCUGAUUUUCCAACCACACCAGAUGCUAAAGCAUAGUCUAAGUAUCAUUAAGUCCUGCUUGAAAAGUCUACCUAUGUAUGCCCUAGACUUCCUUUCAAUGGGUUGCGUGCAAAACACUAAUACCACCAUCUGAAUAUCCAUCAACAGGCAAGCCAUAGGUGUAGUAACUUGACCUGAAGAAAAAAAAACCUUGUUAGAUAAAACCAUAAUCACCAUGUACUCUUCCCACAUGAUUUCUUUAUGAUGAUCAUAAAUUGGCUCCAUUACAUCCUUCCUCCUUGCCUCCAUGCACCUUAAUUCUUUGCUACCUUUACUCUCAAGUAUGGACAUUGCAAUUUAUCCCCAUUCAAGAGCCUCCUACCUUCUGUGUCUAGCUGAUGGAACAAAUAACAUUCAAUAUACCCCUGAUCAAGAGCAUAAUUUUCCAAAUGAUCCGCUAAUUUGUUCCCCUCUCGAAAUAAAUGUGUUAUUCUGCCAUUGGAUAUGCUCAACAUAUGCCUUAUCUCCAUCACUUCUUCCUCAAUAAUCCAAGGUGGCUUCCAGUCCUCUUCAAUCACCCUCUUGAACAACAUUGAGUCUGUUUGCACCCAAGUAUUUGAUAUGCCAUCAGCCAAACUAUGUUUCAUUUCCUCCAGUAUAACCUUAGCUUCUGCCUGUGUAUUUGUCACCUCUUGAAUCUCCUUACCACACGCAUAUAGCAAAUCUCCUUGCUCAUUCCUCAAGCAAAAACCAAUUUAAUUCCUUCCCGGGUUACCCCUCGAUGCCCAAUUAGUGUUUAUUUUUGUCCAACCUUGCAUUGGAAAUUCCCAUAACACCUUAUUGAACUUCAGCUUGGGAGUAUAGUUCUCCAUCAUUUUCAGUAUGUCUGGCCACCUAUAUGGUACCUUAGCUUUCCCAGGUUUUCUUACCUUGAUAAGUGGCUGAAUAGUCAUGCAUACCUGAUACACCACCCUAUUAGUAGACACUGGCUCCCCAUGUUUAUUGCUAUUCCUCAUUUUCCACAACUCCCACACAAUGAUACUAGGCAGUGCUAGAAAUAUUGGCUUCAGUCUAGGAAUCACCUUCAAGGUCCAACAUUUCACUAUAGCCUGUUGUAAACUCAAUCCUUCCAAAGACAAUCCAGCAUAAGAAAAGAAGUAAGUCCACACUCUUGAAGCAGUGUAUGAAUGAUAGAACACGUGGCUUACUGUCUCUUCAUUAGGAGAUACACAACACCAGCAUUUUGAUGGCAUAAAGUAACCCAUCCUUCUUAUUAAAUCAUCUAAUGGUAAUUUCCCUUUCCAAAGCUUCCACAUAAAGAAGGAAAUUUUAAAAGGCAAUCCUUUCACCCACAUGUUAGUGCAAGAUAUAGCUGGAUCCUUUCUUCUUCGCAAAUACUCCCAUGCAGACUUGACUGUGAAUUGACCUCUAGUGUCUAACCUCCACAUAGGUUUGUCCAGUUCUUCUGAAUAAGCUGGGCAUGGUAUACUAUCCAGAAUAUGAGAUGCUAAAUCAUCAGGAAGAAUUUCCCUAAGUUGCUCUUCAUUCCACUAGCCUUCAGUAACUACAUCAUUCACAUUUUGAAUAGCUUCAUCAACUAUAAAUUCUAGAGGUGUUACAAAAUAUAGAGAUCCCAACCCCGUCCAAUUGUCAAAACAAAAAAAGAGAUGAUCCCAUUUUCAAUUUCCAAAGGAUUUCAUGCUCCACAAGGUCUGUACAUUUCAACAUCUUUCUUCAUACAUGAGAACCACGUCUCCAAGGCACAAUAAUGGCAUUCAUAUUUUUAUAAUAUUUCUAGCUCAUGAAGGCGCUCCACAAGGAUGGUUUGGUCCUGAAAUUCCACCAUAGUUUACAGAAGAGGGACUUGGACAUGUCAUGUAAUGAUCGAAAUCCUACUCCUCCCUCUUCUUGAGGUAAGAAAAGAGUAUCCCAUGAAGCCCAGUGUCUAGCUCUACCCUCUAUGGAACUGCUCCAAAUAAAUCUCGCAAAAAGUUUGUGCAACUUGUUUAUAACAUAUGCAGGUGGGUUCACUGCAGACAGCAGGUGAAUAUGCAUGCUUUGCAAAACACUAUUGAUCAGCGUAGCUCUACCACCAAUGGAUAACAGUUUCCCUCUCCAGGAUUAGAGUCUGUCCAUUACUUUAGUGAUUAAGCCCUCAUAGCAGUCCAUCUUUCUCCUUGAGUAGAAGAUAGGGCAGCCAAGAUAAGUGAAUCGAAACUCCUUUUUCCCUAUUCCAGUAACUCUCUCAAUCUUCCUCACAACCUCAUCACUUGUUGAGUGAUGGACAAAGGUAGCAUAUUUGGAUUUGUUAAUCAAUUGGCUUGAAGUUGCUUCAUAUAAAUUUAACACUUCCAUAAUCAAUCUUAGAGAAAUGACAUCUGAUGAUGAGAAUAUAAUUGUGUCAUCAGCAUAUGCAAGAUGGUUGAUUUUAGGGCUCCAUUUAGGUAGACCAAAUCCACAAAAAUACAAGUUAUGAUGUAAUGCAUUAAGCCCCCUCGACAUUGCCUCUGCAGCCAAUAUAAAUAAAAUAGGUGAUAAAGAAUCACCAUGCUUCACUCCUCUAGAAGACUUAAAAAAUCCAUGUGGUUGCCUAUUAACAAGAACUGAAUACCAAUUGUUAGACACAAUGUUAAAGAUCAAACCAAUAAACCUUUCAGAGAACCCCAUCUUCCUUAGGACCUUUGUGAGAAAAAGCCAAGAAAGUCUAUCAUAUGCCUUCAUCAUAUCCAACUUUAGAACUACAUUGGGACCUGAUUUUGUUCUCAAUCUAGUAUCAGUAAUUAUUUCCUGAUUGAGUAACACAUUUUCAACAAUACUCCUUCCUUUAACGAAUCCAGCCUACUCAUAAGAAAUAAUAUUAGGAAGAAUAUCAACCAACCUCUCAUGUAUCACCCUAGAGAUGAUUUUGUUUGAAAAAUUGCUCAAGCUGAUUGGUCUCAAAUCUGAGAAGGUUUGCACAUCCUUCUUCUUUGGUAACAAUACUAAAUUUGUGUGAGUCACAAAUUUAGAAAGAUCAUGCCCCCUAAAGAAGGCCUUUACCAUCUCUAUAAUAUCUUCACCUAUGAUUUCCCAACAAGCAUGGAAAAAAUUUCCAUUGAAACCAUCAGGUCCACCUGCAGUGUCCCCAUUCAGCCCAAAUACUGCCUUCUUGACUUCCUCCAUUGUUGGCUGUCUUGUGAGCUCACUAUUUUGUUCCUCAUUUAUCAGCACAGGCAUGUGAUCCAAUAUUGUAAAAUCUAUUGGAACACUAGAUUCAUGGAAUUGCUGCUGGAAAAAAUGGACAACUUCUUCUGCUAUAUCUGCUUGUUCCUCUAGCCAAUUACCAUUUCUAUCUUAAAUUCUUUUCAGCUGUAGUUUCCUUCUUUUGCCAUUUACAUGAGCAUGAAAAAGCUUAGUAUUUCUAUCUCCAUCUUUAACCCAAACUAUACCAGCCUUUUGUUUCCAGAAAUCCUCUUCUAAUGCCCAUACUCGAAUCAAUUCAGCUUGAACUUUUUGGAGUCUUUUGUGAUUUUGAAAUGUUGGAUUUAAUUCAAAUUGAGUCUCAUGUACCUUGACCACUUCCUCCAAACUAGCCAACCUUUGAAAAAUAUCACCAAAUGUAUCUCUUCUCCAUACCGUUAAAGCCUUCUUCAAUUUCUUCAUCUUGUGGUUGAAUAAGAUAUAUGGGCUCGCAUGAAAGUCUGCCUGCCAGUUUUCCUUAACGACCUCCAAGAAUGAAUCAUGUUUAAUCCAUAGAUUCAGAAAUCUAAAAGCUUUUUUGACUGGACCAGUACUAGGAUUACAAGUAAGUUGCAUCGGGCUAUGGUCUGAACCAAUCUUGGAUAGAUGAUUGAUUUCCAAACCUGGCCAAAGCUGUUGAAGCUCCAUGUUGCCCAGACAUCUGUCUAGUCAUUUGAAAAUACAAUCCUCCUCAGCCCUCUCAUUCCAUCAAGUGAAAAUGCUUCCUUUGAACCCAAGAUCAAAAAGAUUGCACGUAUUAAUACAGUGCCUGAAAUCAUCUAUCUCGUUAAUAUGUACUGGAAGGCUACCAAAUUUCUCUUCUUCAUCCCAUAUCAUAUUAAAGUCUCCACCCACGAGCCAUGGCAGAGACAUAUCAGUAGCCAAUGAGUAUCAUGUGUCCCACAACUCAAUUCUCUCAGUCGCAUUACAUUUAGCAUAUACCAUGAUAAUAAUAAACUCCUUAUGAUCAUCAGUAUUAGUCAUUCUCAAGGUAAUCUGCUGCUCCAUGUUGAAUAGGAUAUCAAAAUCAUAUUUUUGAUCUAUCAAAAUCCAUAUUUUGUUAGAUAUAUUAACCACUACUUGCUCAAACCCAAGCCUUCACCUAUACUGGUCCACAGUUCUAGUCUGCUGCAUAGGCUUCAUCAAGGCAAUGAAAUCAAAUUGGUACCGUCUAUCUAUUGUGACUACUCUUUCAAAAGCUUGCAUUGUAUUAACUGACCUAAUAUUCCAAAUGAGAGCAUACAUCAUUAAUUAACUGAUUUAGAAAAGGUUCUCCUUGUUUGAACUCCUGGGACUUGCACCCCAAUAGUGUCCUUUGGCUAUUUUUUCUUCCCCCUUCCUGCUGAUUUCCCAAUCUCUAUUUGUCUAGGAGAGAUGUCACCUUGCCUAGCAACAUUGAUGAAAUUCUAGGUAGUGGAUUCUACAUCCAUAUCUCUCCAUUUUGUCCCUUGUACAUGCUCUUCUUCUGCAUUAUUUUGUUGAGUAACCAUCUGGUUAUGGAUAGGUUUAGGAAUCAGACUCUUAUAAUUAUUUUUCCUUUGCUUCACCUCAGUUAUGACCUGUGGAUUAGGAUAGCUGAUGACAUCUUGAAUCUGUGUAAUGGCUGCUGAUUCAUCAUCUGGGGUACCCUGGCUUGCUUUCUACUGCUUCUCUGAAUCUUUCUGAAUUCCUUCAAAUUGUUGCUGUUGCACUUCCUCCCCUGAAUUCCUUGGAUCCCCUGUAUAUCUAACUUGUUCUAUAGGCUCAUUCAUCUCUGCAAGGCUAGGAUUAUUAAUAGGAUUAGCUGAUAGUUCAGAGUUAUUAGGCUGUUCAACAUGAAGAGGCUGCUCUGCUGAAUCCUUGAGCUUGUUACCCUCAGCUCCACUUUGUCCUUCAAUUCCACCACUUUUACUAUUCAAACUUUGUUCCUCCACAUCUGGCUCUUUGUCUUGUACUUCUUCCACAUCUUCAUGGCCUUCAAGGAAUUCACCUUCAUCUAAUUCUUCUUCAUGCUGUUGAUACCAUAAUCUACCUCCAGUAAAAUCCACACUAUCCUUUAGAUUUUCUUGCUCAGGGAUCACACUUGUAUCUAGAGAUUGAAAUGGGAUUUCUUGGCAAAACUGAUUUGUGGUAACAUUUGUGAUCGGGAAAGUUCUAUGUACCCAUUGAGCUGUAGAUUCUUUAACUCUAUCUGUUGCUGCCUUAACUAUACUUCCUCCCCCAUUAGAAUUAGUUUAAUUGCCUCUCUUUGAUGAUGCUACUCCAGUAGACUUAGGAGUAAAAACUGCAGCAGCUAGAUUUAACUCCUUAUGGACAGGUGAUUUCUGUACAACAGUAUCCUCCACCACUACUAAUUGAAUACCUUCAUUAUUUUGUUAUUCAACUUGUAAGGCUGCAAACUUGUUUGCUAUUUGAAUUUGUUGGUCUGCAUUAAUUGAAACAAUUUGCCUUCUUCCAUUAUCAUUGCUAUGCUAACUAUUACCAUUAGCUGUCCCAAUUUCCUGCAUUGAUGCACCAUCAUUUUGAAUCAGAUUAAUAGAUUUUUGUACCUGCUGCCCAUUACCUUGAUCAACUGGAACUAUUUCUUUCCCUGUAACAACUUGAUUUCCAUUCUUCUUCACACGAUUGUCCCUCACUUCCUUCCAUUGCUCCCCAAUUGGAUUCACAUUACCUACUACUCUCCCGCUUGAUAUCAUCAUCAAGGGUUGAUUAUGAUGAACCUUAGACUGCUCCUUGCUACUUUCCACAGUCUGCUUGCCUUAAUCAUAAGGGGAUAAUUCCGGAUGAAUUCUCCAGCAUUAAAAUUCAUCAUGCCCUUGUAAUCUGCAUUCCUUACAAUAUUUGGGCAACAUAUCAUACUUGAUGCUAACCCAUUCAGUUCUUAUUUCACCUGAAGCUUCAUUAACAAUGUCCAUUCUCACCUUCUUAGGAUGAUCAGCUAACAAGUCGAUGAGAACUUUGAUCCUAGCACAACUAGGUCUAGUCUUAUUGAUUGUAGCCAUGUCCAAGUGUAAAGGCUUUCCAAUAGCUGAAGCAAGAGAAAAAAGACACUCCUUCACAAAAUAAGUAGGUAACAAACUUGGAAAGGAAAUCCAAGCCAUAGCCAUUGGAGUCUCCUCUCAUGCCUUAAAUUUCACAUCAUAUAUGAGAGGUCGGAUUUGAUAUUCAUGUCCAUUCUUGUCUUUGACAUAUUGAGCACCUUUCGACGAAAAAUCAACAAAGUCCUGCCACAAAGUUAUACGUAUAAGGAUAUGCCUGUCUCUCAAGUAACUAAUGCUACACUCCCUUAAUUCCACAUUGUAAUGGGACAAUGCGACAAAUCUCGUUCAAAUCUGGCCAUCCAUACGCAAAUUUUUCAACCACAACAUAUUGGAGACCUUCAAUCACGUUCAUUCUAUCAACUUUUGCCUCCGUAAACUUCACCAUUAGUUGUCCAUUGACAAAAGCUGCUCAACGCAAUGGAAUUGGUUCAACAAAGGAAACACGUUCCUGCAUGGCACUGUUCAUAGUUGAUGGUUUAAGGAUUUUAGAGUAGUCAAAGGGCUGGGGAUUGUUGUUAGUGGUCGUGGAGGGCUGGGCGAUGAUGGGAGGGGCCUGACCAGCCGAAGAAGAGGGCUAGCCGCCGGCCAUAUUGGCCAUGGCAAAAAAAUCGCAAGUUUUCUCUCUCUAGUAUCACAAAAUCACCAGAGCCCCUCUCUCUCUCUCUCUACUUCUCCUCCACUUAGCUGAUGUAAC
This 22067-nucleotide long non-coding RNA is filed under the name Nicotiana tabacum (common tobacco). RNAcentral's name for it is "long non-coding RNA (NTAB_LNC009052)". The record is from RNAcentral. Lineage: Eukaryota; Viridiplantae; Streptophyta; Magnoliopsida; Solanales; Solanaceae.